RNAcentral lists this ribosomal RNA (250 nucleotides) under uncultured bacterium. RNAcentral's name for it is "partial 16S ribosomal RNA". It matches the Rfam family "Bacterial small subunit ribosomal RNA", at positions 524 to 773 of the family's 1533-position model. RNAcentral also lists the same sequence under 1 other name. The record is from RNAcentral.
UACAGAGGGUGCAAGCGUUAAUCGGAAUUACUGGGCGUAAAGCGCGCGUAGGUGGUUUGUUAAGUUGGAUGUGAAAGCCCCGGGCUCAACCUGGGAACUGCAUCCAAAACUGGCAAGCUAGAGUACGGUAGAGGGUGGUGGAAUUUCCUGUGUAGCGGUGAAAUGCGUAGAUAUAGGAAGGAACACCAGUGGCGAAGGCGACCACCUGGACUGAUACUGACACUGAGGUGCGAAAGCGUGGGGAGCAAAC